CAGGACCGUCAUAACAAGAAGGUCACUAAAUGACCUUUGACGGUCCUGAACCGUCAAAAAAUUAAAUAAGCUUAGAAAGUGAUCAAGGAUCACUUUCUUCGCUUAAACGGCCUUGCUGCAAUGCCUCGAUGUCGAGGCAUUCAGCAAGGCCGAGAUCGGCAUCGGGGGCCAUGUCUGGCCCCUCCCGGGGCGUCAACAGCCGCCAUACAUUGUAUGGCGGCGGACGCCCGUUUUAAAAGCGUUUAGGAGGCGAUCAACGAUCGCCUCCUAAACUUAAAUGGUGUCGCUGGAAUGCCUCGAUCAGGAGGCAUCCAGCGACACCAAACACUUACCUCUGGGUGGGCUGUGACCACUCCGGAGAGUGGUCACAGCCGCAGCUGCCGGUGAUCUUCGCCAUCCGCAAGAUGGCGGCGGCCCGGGAAAUAAAACAAUAAAGGUGAAAAAGUUCGCUAGAUGGUCUCCAGACCCUCUAGAGAACUGGCUCCACUUGCUGGUUGAAUACAGGUACUGCAUUCAACCAUGCAAGUCAAUGGAGCCCAGCUUUCUAAUCACUAUGUGAUUAGUAAAAUAUUCAAAAAAAAAUAAAAAAUGGAAAAAAAAAAUAAAAAAAAAUGUGCUAACAUUUAAAAAUAAUUAUGCAGUGAUGUCACUAGAUGAACCAUCCAGUACCAGCAAAAUGUGUAAAAAAAUUAUAAAAAAAUAAAAUAUUUAAAAAAAAAAAAAAUGUGCUAACAUUUAAAAAUAAUUAUGCAGUGAUGUCACUAGAUGAACCAUCCAGUACCAGCAAAAUGUGUAAAAAAAAUAUAAAAAAAGUAUUAAAAAAAUAAAAUAAAAUUAAAAAAUAAAGUUUAUUAUUUUGAGCAAGUGCUAAAAUUUCUCAAAAAUCUCAACAAAGAGUUAAAAAAAAGCACUUCAAAUACCCAAGGGGUGUCUAAUAUAUAAAAAAAUGGAUGAUGGGGUAAAUUGGAGUGGCCGAGCUCAAAGAUAGGGCAUAGGUACAGACUGACCAAAAUGGAGAAAAAAGCGCACUUCCCAAAUGUGGCAUUUUAAAUCUGAAACAACCCGACAAACCCAUGCAUGUCGGGUAUCACUGCACUCAGGAGAUGUUCCUGAACACACAUUGGGGUGUUGUUUGACAGUGACAUAUACCAGGACCUGUAUAUCUAUAACUAAAGUACAAUUUGUGUGAAAAAAAAAAUAAAAAAAAUUACUAUUACAAAGUUUGACAAAGUGUAGUUCUAUAAUUGGUGCAUGGAAAGGGUUAAAAUAACAGCAUUUGGAAUACCCUGGGGUGUCUAGUUUUCAAAAAUAUAUGGUUUGAAUGGGUUAAAUUGAGUUAACCGGCUUCAAAGAUGUUCCAAAGAGGAGAUGGAGGCAGACUGACCAGAUUUGUUAAAAAAGAUUUGGAAAUCAUAAAACGCUGCUAGUACUUACUGCCCUAUAACUUACAAAAAACAGCAAAAACACAUAAAAACAUUGGGUAUUUCUAAACUCAGGACAAGUAGUAGAAUCUAUUUAGCUAGUUUUUUUACUUGCUUUUUUAGGUGAGUAAAAGGUUUUUCAAAUAAAAGUCAUAAAAUGUGUUUUUUUCAAUUUUUCACCAUGUUUUUUUUAUUUUUUUAUAGUAAAUAAGAUGAUACGAUCAAAAUAAUGGUAUC
Molecule: long non-coding RNA, 1658 nt
Organism: Spea bombifrons (plains spadefoot toad)
Lineage: Eukaryota; Metazoa; Chordata; Amphibia; Anura; Pelobatidae
Exons: 2
Source: RefSeq, a predicted model, not a curated record